This 420-nucleotide small RNA is filed under the name Pongo abelii (Sumatran orangutan). Its description in RNAcentral is "processed transcript". The record is from RNAcentral. Lineage: Eukaryota; Metazoa; Chordata; Mammalia; Primates; Hominidae.
GAAGUUUCAGCAAAGACAAAAUGUUGAGGUGAUGCAACAGGCUCAUAGAUUUGCUGGAGGAGAAUUACAGGUCCAUUAAUAUAAGAUUUGCCACUCUCUUGGAUACUCCUGGUGUGGAAAAUCUUGUCAGCACCCUCAUGUUGAAUAAAAGCAUAUUGGAGGACUUAGACCGUUACAACAAGGCUCGCAAAGACCCUGAUGGAACACCGCUGCAGGCAUUUGUAGCUGAAGUUGCAGAACAAAUAGUUGGUAUUGCAGUGAUCAGAAAUGAAAUGGACAUUGAGUACGUACGGUCCCAUUACAACAUUGAAGAUUUCAUCUACUUCAGUCACCACCAGCGCGAAGAACACGGGCACAUGCAUCACUUUGCCCUCAACCCCAUUUUCCGGCACUACACCAAGUUCUUUCUGAAGGAGAUCC